This is a long non-coding RNA of Xenia sp. Carnegie-2017, 732 nucleotides long. RefSeq lists it as uncharacterized. Lineage: Eukaryota; Metazoa; Cnidaria; Anthozoa; Malacalcyonacea; Xeniidae. The record is from RefSeq and is a predicted model, not a curated record. The transcript has 2 exons.
AUGCACUGCUUCCUUAACAGACUUGUGAACCUGUUUAACCCUUUAAUUGUAACCGUUCAUGAUAUCUAACAAUGUGCCUCCCCCCUAUAAGCGAUUUACUUCUGUCGCCCCUAGCUGAGAGUGAUUAAUAGAUUCAGAUAUAAAAGCAAAUGCGAGGCUGCAUACAAUGUUAUAUAAUGGUCGCAUAAAAUAUAGAUCAUGCGAAUGAUGCCAAAAUUUUUUGACCAGAUCUAGGAUUAUUCAGACGUAGAGUAUUCGACUAAACAGUGUGUACAUUAUCAGUUCAUUGUCGGUAAAUAUUUACACAGGUGUUUCAUGAAUGCCAACGAAGGAUAAUGUUUCAAAUGGAAAAAACCAUCGGACGCUAUUAACCGUAUGGCUUAUCAAAACAAACAUAACACACAUAAUUCAAAAAUGUGCGAGUCUAUGAUAUUGAAAAGUACUCACCGACUCCACUAUCACCAAUCAAAACGACUUUAAAAAGAAACAGUGUAUAUGUGAUGUUGGCAAUCCAAGAACACGGAAAAGUACAGCUGCGUCUCUCUUAUUAUACGUCUCAUGAACUGUCCAAUGAUGUAUAUUCCUUUUUAUUUACAGCUUGUUGCUGGGAAAAUAAAUAAAUAAAUACAUAAAAUUUCAAACCUAAAUUUUCCAUUGUUAAACAACUUACGAGAAUUGCUUGCGUGACAUUCUGAAAAGUCACAAUAAACAUAUUCACUCUUCCCCUUAAAA